UAGGGAAUAUUGGACAAUGGGCGAAAGCCUAAUCCAGCAAUACCGCGUGAAUGAUGAAGGUCUUAGGAUUGUAAAGUUCUUUCGGUGGGGAAGAUAAUGACGGUACCCACAGAAGAAGCACCGGCUAACUUCGUGCCAGCAGCCGCGGUAAUACGAAGGGUGCUAGCGUUAUUCGGAAUCACUGGGCGUAAAGCGUGUGUAGGCGGUUUGAUAAGUCAGUUGUGAAAUCCCUAGGCUUAACCUAGGAACUAUAAUUGAAACUGUCAUGCUAGAGUAUAGUAGGCGAUGGCGGAAUUCUUAGUGUAGGGGUGAAAUCCGUAGAUAUUAAGAGGAACACCGGUGGUGAAGACGGCUAUCUUGACUAUAACUGACGCUAAAGCACGAAGGCAUGGGUAGCAAACAGG
Molecule: ribosomal RNA, 404 nt
Filed under: uncultured bacterium
Lineage: Bacteria
Description: bacterial SSU rRNA
Rfam family: Bacterial small subunit ribosomal RNA
Source: RNAcentral